RNAcentral lists this long non-coding RNA (818 nucleotides) under Homo sapiens (human). Its description in RNAcentral is "HSALNT0370934". The record is from RNAcentral. Lineage: Eukaryota; Metazoa; Chordata; Mammalia; Primates; Hominidae.
GGAGCUGGAGCUGGAGCUGCGAAUUCGGAGUCCCGGUUCCCUGUGCCACCUGGCGAGCUCAGCAAACUAAAAGUCUCUUUGUCUUCAUCGUUUCCGGCACUGAUGUGAGCACAUCAUAAGCACAAGACCUGGACACCUUUACAAUCAGAGGGCCUAGGACUGGAGCUCUGGAUCUGACCGGAGCAAAGAGGAAGCACGCAAAUCCGGACAUGACGACGAGGAGGCAGUAGAGACCCAUCCUCAACUACCCCCUGAGUGCCGAUCCCACCUGUGAAAGGGGAGGAGCAGAUCUGGGGAAGGGAUAUGCCCAGAGGAAAUCAACAAGACCAAAGAGACGUCAGAGUCCUGAUGGCCAAAAUCAGACACCAGCUUUCCUGAGAAGGCAGAAGAGAGAGCCCCAUAGAAGCAGUGGGGGCUCAGAAGGUGCCCUUGUUGAGCUGCUUGAGGCAGAAGGCACAGACGAAGUGCUCGGGGUGGAACUUCUUGGCCAUGGCGGUGAUGCAGCGGCCGGUGAUGGGCUUCUGGCAGCCAGAACACAGCGAGCCGCGCCGCUCGUGGUAGUGCACCUCACAGUAGGGCUGCCCGUCGUGCUCGAAGAAGCUGCCGUUCACGAAUGGCGUGAAGCAUUCCUGCCAGGCGGAGAGAGGGGCUCAGGGAGCUGCCCCUCGGGCUAGAGCUGCACCCUGUGUGAUGGGGCCGAGGUGGGCAUAGUCGGCACGCUCGGAGUGACUCCUACUUGCUAGGCGUUUCCCAUGUGCCGUGUUGUCCUAAACGCUCAUUUUUCAUUUUUAUUUUAUUAAAUAAAUUUUUUUUGUAGA